CCCUUAGAUGUUCUGGGCCGCACGCGCGCUACACUGAUGCAUUCAACGAGUCUAAAACCUGCUCUGAUAGGGGUGGGUAAUCUUUUGAAUGUGCAUCGUGAUUGGGAUAGUUGAUUGCAAUUUUUCAUCUUCAACGAGGAAUGCCUAGUAAACGCAAGUCAUCAGCUUGCAUUGAUUACGUCCCUGCCCUUUGUACACACCGCCCGUCGCUCCUACCGAUUGAAUGAUCCGAUGAAUAUCAUGGAUUGAGGAUGUAAGCAGGUUCGCCUGUCUUCAUCUUCGAGAAGUGAAGUAAAUCUUAUCAUUUAGAGGAAGGAGAAGUCGUAACA
This 329-nucleotide ribosomal RNA is filed under the name uncultured eukaryote. RNAcentral describes it as "partial 18S ribosomal RNA". It matches the Rfam family "Eukaryotic small subunit ribosomal RNA", at positions 1470 to 1796 of the family's 1831-position model. The record is from RNAcentral.